GUCCAUUAUUAGAUUAUAUUGUCCACUCAGCAGUCUAACAGACCAUUAUUAGGCUCAGCACUGUAUUUCCUAUGUUGUAUGUGUAAUUCGUAAGAUUAGCCUAGUGAAGUACUAAGUUUUUAUCUAAUUGAGUGAUCCUGAAGAAAUUUUUGAAAAUGUUAAAUUUCAACUGAAUUUUUGCAGACAGCUAUGAAGAGGGCAGAAGGAAGGCUAAAGAGGCAGAGACCUGGUCAGACCUCCAGUCAGACGCAGAAAUGUCUGGACAGAAACCACCAAGGCGUAAAAUGAAGAGUGUUCGAAUUGGCCCACCUGGAGGUUGCUUAAUGGACUCAGAGGAGGAAUCUGGCCCACCCCCAAGCAACUUCUUCCACCUGCCCCCACUGUAAACCUCCCUGUAGUCAUCCCAAACACCACUUUCACCCCUGUUCCCAUCACCACAUUGCCAGCAGCAGCAGCACCACCACCACAAGGGACAUAUACAGAGAUGCUGCAAAAUUGGCAGCCGAUGGACGAUGUGCCACCGCUGCGGAGUUGUCAGACGUUCAGAAUUGCCCCCAGCAAUCAUCAGAACCAGGUUGGUCCUUCAGUGAUUUCCACUCAGUCAUCUUACUUUUUAAGUUUAUCGUUUUUUUAAUAAGACUAAGGAUGACAUUGUACAGUUUUGUAGUGUGUAUUGUAAUUGUAAAAUAUUGUAAAUGUCUUUAA
Long non-coding RNA from Cyprinus carpio carpio, 705 nucleotides. Lineage: Eukaryota; Metazoa; Chordata; Actinopteri; Cypriniformes; Cyprinidae. The record is from Ensembl.